GCCGCUAUGGCGGAAUUGGCAGACGCAAGGGACUUAAAAUCCCUCGGUGGCAACACUGUACCGGUUCGAUCCCGGUUAGCGGCACCA
RNAcentral lists this transfer RNA (87 nucleotides) under Oscillospiraceae bacterium. RNAcentral describes it as "tRNA-Leu". It matches the Rfam family "tRNA". Rfam says of the family: Transfer RNA (tRNA) molecules are approximately 80 nucleotides in length. Their secondary structure includes four short double-helical elements and three loops (D, anti-codon, and T loops). Further hydrogen bonds mediate the characteristic L-shaped molecular structure. tRNAs have two regions of fundamental functional importance: the anti-codon, which is responsible for specific mRNA codon recognition, and the 3' end, to which the tRNAs corresponding amino acid is attached (by aminoacyl-tRNA synthetases). tRNAs cope with the degeneracy of the genetic code in two manners: having more than one tRNA (with a specific anti-codon) for a particular amino acid; and 'wobble' base-pairing, i.e. permitting non-standard base-pairing at the 3rd anti-codon position. The record is from RNAcentral. Lineage: Bacteria; Bacillati; Bacillota; Clostridia; Eubacteriales; Oscillospiraceae.